RNAcentral lists this ribosomal RNA (793 nucleotides) under Shigella sonnei. Its description in RNAcentral is "partial 23S ribosomal RNA". It matches the Rfam family "Bacterial large subunit ribosomal RNA", at positions 2150 to 2925 of the family's 2925-position model. The record is from RNAcentral. Lineage: Bacteria; Pseudomonadati; Pseudomonadota; Gammaproteobacteria; Enterobacterales; Enterobacteriaceae.
GGAGGCUUUGAAGUGUGGACGCCAGUCUGCAUGGAGCCGGCCUUGAAAUACCACCCUUUAAUGUUUGAUGUUCUAACGUGGACCCGUGAUCCGGGUUGCGGACAGUGUCUGGUGGGUAGUUUGACUGGGGCGGUCUCCUCCUAAAGAGUAACGGAGGAGCACGAAGGUUGGCUAAUCCUGGUCGGACAUCAGGAGGUUAGUGCAAUGGCAUAAGCCAGCUUGACUGCGAGCGUGACGGCGCGAGCAGGUGCGAAAGCAGGUCAUAGUGAUCCGGUGGUUCUGAAUGGAAGGGCCAUCGCUCAACGGAUAAAAGGUACUCCGGGGAUAACAGGCUGAUACCGCCCAAGAGUUCAUAUCGACGGCGGUGUUUGGCACCUCGAUGUCGGCUCAUCACAUCCUGGGGCUGAAGUAGGUCCCAAGGGUAUGGCUGUUCGCCAUUUAAAGUGGUACGCGAGCUGGGUUUAGAACGUCGUGAGACAGUUCGGUCCCUAUCUGCCGUGGGCGCUGGAGAACUGAGGGGGGCUGCUCCUAGUACGAGAGGACCGGAGUGGACGCAUCACUGGUGUUCGGGUUGUCAUGCCAAUGGCACUGCCCGGUAGCUAAAUGCGGAAGAGAUAAGUGCUGAAAGCAUCUAAGCACGAAACUUGCCCCGAGAUGAGUUCUCCCUGACCCUUUAAGGGUCCUGAAGGAACGUUGAAGACGACGACGUUGAUAGGCCGGGUGUGUAAGCGCAGCGAUGCGUUGAGCUAACCGGUACUAAUGAACCGUGAGGCUUAACCUUACAACGCCGAAG